GGGGUUGUGGCUCAGUGGUAGAGUGCUUGCCUAACAUGCAAGAGGCACUGGGUUCAAUCCUCAGCACCUCA
RNAcentral lists this transfer RNA (71 nucleotides) under Marmota marmota marmota (Alpine marmot). It matches the Rfam family "tRNA". Rfam says of the family: Transfer RNA (tRNA) molecules are approximately 80 nucleotides in length. Their secondary structure includes four short double-helical elements and three loops (D, anti-codon, and T loops). Lineage: Eukaryota; Metazoa; Chordata; Mammalia; Rodentia; Sciuridae. RNAcentral also lists the same sequence under 1 other name. The record is from Rfam by way of RNAcentral.